GAGUUUGAUCCUGGCUCAGGGAUGAACGCUAGCGGAACGCCUAACACAUGCAAGUCGAACGGAUUCUGCGUUGUAGCAAUACAUAGUAGAAUUAGUGGCAAACGAGCGAGUAACGCGUGCCUAACCUGCCCUUAAGAUGGGAACAACUACGGAGACGUAGCUAAAUCCCAAUAUGCUCACGAUGGUGAAAUGCCGAUGCGAGGAAAGAUUUAUCGCUUAAGGAGGGGGGCGCGUCCUAUCAGGUAGUUGGUUGAGGUAACGGCUCACCAAGCCUAUGACAGGUAGCUGGUCUGAGAUGAUGUCCAGCCGCGAUGGGACUGAGAUACGGCCCAUACUCCUACGGGAGGCAGCAGUGGGGAAUCUUGCACAAUGGACGAAAGUCUGAUGCAGCGAUCCCGCGUGAAGGAUGAAGCAUUACGGUGUGUAAACUUCUUUUUUGGUGGAAGACGAAUGACGGUACACCAAGAAUAAGAGACGGCUAACUACGUGCCAGCAGCCGCGGUAAUACGUAGGUCUCAAGCGUUAUCCGGAUUUACUGGGCGUAAAGUAUCCGUAGCCUGAUAUGUAAGUCUGUUUUCAAAUCCCACGACUCAAUCGUGGAAAGGGAAUGGAUACUGCAUAUCUAGAAGUUAUUGGGGGUUAGUGGAAUUUCCGGUGGAGCGGUGAAAUGCGUUGAUAUCGGAAAGAACGCCGAAAGCGAAAGCAGCUAACUAUGAUUAACUUGACGGUGAGGGAUGAAAGUUUGGGUAGCAAACGGGAUUAGAUACCCCGGUAGUCCAAACUGUAAAUUAUGCUUGCUAGGUGUUUCGAUCCUUGUGGUCGGAGUGCCGUAAUCUAACGAGUUAAGCAAGUCGCCUGGGUAGUAUAUUCGCAAGAAUGAAACUCAAAGGGAUAGGCGGGGGAGC
Molecule: ribosomal RNA, 905 nt
Filed under: uncultured candidate division SR1 bacterium
Lineage: Bacteria; Candidatus Absconditibacteriota
Description: bacterial SSU rRNA
Rfam family: Bacterial small subunit ribosomal RNA
Source: RNAcentral